RNAcentral lists this ribosomal RNA (499 nucleotides) under uncultured bacterium. RNAcentral's name for it is "bacterial SSU rRNA". It matches the Rfam family "Bacterial small subunit ribosomal RNA", at positions 31 to 525 of the family's 1533-position model. The record is from RNAcentral.
GAACGCUGGCGGCAUGCCUUACACAUGCAAGUCGAACGGCAGCACGGGAGCAAUCCUGGUGGCGAGUGGCGAACGGGCGAGUAAUAUAUCGGAACGUGCCCAGUCGUGGGGGAUAACGCAGCGAAAGCUGUGCUAAUACCGCAUACGAUCUAUGGAUGAAAGCGGGGGAUCGCAAGACCUCGCGCGAUUGGAGCGGCCGAUAUCAGAUUAGCUAGUUGGUGGGGUAAAGGCCCACCAAGGCGACGAUCUGUAGCUGGUCUGAGAGGACGACCAGCCACACUGGAACUGAGACACGGUCCAGACUCCUACGGGAGGCAGCAGUGGGGAAUUUUGGACAAUGGGCGCAAGCCUGAUCCAGCAAUGCCGCGUGCAGGAUGAAGGCCUUCGGGUUGUAAACUGCUUUUGUACGGAACGAAACGGUCCUUUCUAAUAUAAGGGGCUAAUGACGGUACCGUAAGAAUAAGCACCGGCUAACUACGUGCCAGCAGCCGCGGUAAUA